GGGGGCUCUUCCUUCUGAGUGCCCACCCCCGUGUUCCUGCAGGAGCUCUGCUCGGAGCCAACUCUCUUCCCCUGCCCCCUUGCAGAGGGUCCCACAUGUGAGGCCUCUAAGAAGCUCUCCUUGGAGGAGGUCAGCUGCUUGAGCUGGUCACAGACACCUGACCCAUCUUCCCCUCCAUGGACGCCUGCAUGUCCUCCAUGAGCUCCACCUUCCACAGCUUCCCACCCGCCUCCGUCUGCGGCACCGUGGGAUCCGAGCUCAGGGCAGAGGUCCGGAUGGGAGAUAUGAACAUGGGCGCUGCCGGCACUGGAUGGACUUUACCUUCUGGAGCCGCCCAGACCAACCAGGAAGUGAGCCCAGAGAGAGAAGACGCAAGUCGCGGAAACUAAGAGAAGAAACGCUCCAGGGAGGAGGGAACGCUCAGUUGUGGCAAAUACUGCCGAGAGGUGUGGACUUACUUCCACGGCCCUCUGCCUGCUCAUCACUGCUGGCUCCUGUUACUGCCCAAGCUGAUGCACACGGAGACCGGAAAGAGACCCCCUGAGCGUGCAAGCAUGUGUGUACAGUUCCAGACCCGCCCUGCUCCUGAGUGAUGGAUUUAUCUGGUUUUAG
This 612-nucleotide long non-coding RNA is filed under the name Equus asinus (donkey). RNAcentral describes it as "lncRNA (ENSEASG00005028863.1)". Lineage: Eukaryota; Metazoa; Chordata; Mammalia; Perissodactyla; Equidae. The record is from RNAcentral.